Molecule: small nuclear RNA, 61 nt
Filed under: Nomascus leucogenys (northern white-cheeked gibbon)
Lineage: Eukaryota; Metazoa; Chordata; Mammalia; Primates; Hylobatidae
Description: U7 small nuclear RNA
Rfam family: U7 small nuclear RNA
About the family: Animal histone pre-mRNAs are spliced by a different mechanism than nuclear pre-mRNAs and self-splicing introns. This processing involves the U7 snRNP, which contains only one RNA species: U7. The 5' end of U7 RNA is thought to base-pair to a conserved spacer element downstream of the cleavage site in histone pre-mRNA.
Source: Rfam by way of RNAcentral
UAGUGUUACAGCUCUUUAGAAUUUGUCUAGCAGGUUUUCCAGUAUUCACUGGAAAGCUCCU